GAUGAACGCUGGCGGCGUGCCUAAUACAUGCGAGUCGAGCGAACAGACGAGGAGCUUGCUCCUCUGAUGUUAGCGGCGGACGGGUGAGUAACACGUGGAUAACCUACCUAUAAGACUGGGAUAACUUCGGGAAACCGGAGCUAAUACCGGAUAACAUGUUGAACCGCAUGGUUCAACAGUGAAAGACGGUCUUGCUGUCACUUAUAGAUGGAUCCGCGCCGCAUUAGCUAGUUGGUAAGGUAACGGCUUACCAAGGCAACGAUGCGUAGCCGACCUGAGAGGGUGAUCGGCCACACUGGAACUGAGACACGGUCCAGACUCCUACGGGAGGCAGCAGUAGGGAAUCUUCCGCAAUGGGCGAAAGCCUGACGGAGCAACGCCGCGUGAGUGAAGAAGGUCUUCGGAUCGUAAAAUUCUGUUAUUAGGGAAGAACAAAUGUGUAAGUAACUAUGCACGUCUUGACGGUACCUAAUCAGAAAGCCACGGCUAACUACGUG
This 497-nucleotide ribosomal RNA is filed under the name uncultured bacterium. RNAcentral's name for it is "partial 16S ribosomal RNA". It matches the Rfam family "Bacterial small subunit ribosomal RNA", at positions 28 to 507 of the family's 1533-position model. The record is from RNAcentral.